Mycena polygramma is the source of this 93-nucleotide non-coding RNA. The record is from the annotation of a GenBank genome assembly. NCBI's taxonomy places the organism in Eukaryota, Fungi, Basidiomycota, Agaricomycetes, Agaricales, Mycenaceae.
GCAUCGGUAGUGUGUGGAACACGCACCAUUAACUUAUAAGUACCGUCAGCAUCUUCAUAACGGUGCGACGGGGUUCGAUUCCCCACCGGUGCA